CUGGCUCAGGAUGAACGCUGGCGGCGUGCCUAAUACAUGCAAGUCGAGCGAACUGAUUAGAAGCUUGCUUCUAUGACGUUAGCGGCGGACGGGUGAGUAACACGUGGGCAACCUGCCUGUAAGACUGGGAUAACUUCGGGAAACCGAAGCUAAUACCGGAUAGGAUCUUCUCCUUCAUGGGAGAUGAUUGAAAGAUGGUUUCGGCUAUCACUUACAGAUGGGCCCGCGGUGCAUUAGCUAGUUGGUGAGGUAACGGCUCACCAAGGCAACGAUGCAUAGCCGACCUGAGAGGGUGAUCGGCCACACUGGGACUGAGACACGGCCCAGACUCCUACGGGAGGCAGCAGUAGGGAAUCUUCCGCAAUGGACGAAAGUCUGACGGAGCAACGCCGCGUGAGUGAUGAAGGCUUUCGGGUCGUAAAACUCUGUUGUUAGGGAAGAACAAGUACAAGAGUAACUGCUUGUACCUGAC
This 472-nucleotide ribosomal RNA is filed under the name Bacillus sp. RKBH-B55. RNAcentral's name for it is "bacterial SSU rRNA". It matches the Rfam family "Bacterial small subunit ribosomal RNA", at positions 19 to 483 of the family's 1533-position model. The record is from RNAcentral. Lineage: Bacteria; Bacillati; Bacillota; Bacilli; Caryophanales; Bacillaceae.